AUACGGAGGGUCCAAGCGUUAUCCGGAUUUAUUGGGUUUAAAGGGUCCGUAGGCGGGAAAUUAAGUCAGUGGUGAAAGCCUACAGCUCAACUGUAGAACUGCCAUUGAAACUGAUUUUCUUGAAUAUAGAUGAAGUGGGCGGAAUGUGUCAUGUAGCGGUGAAAUGCAUAGAUAUGACACAGAACACCGAUUGCGAAGGCAGCUCACUAAACUAUUAUUGACGCUGAGGGACGAAAGCGUGGGGAGCGAACAGGAUUAGAAACCCCAGUAGUCC
Molecule: ribosomal RNA, 274 nt
Filed under: uncultured bacterium
Lineage: Bacteria
Description: partial 16S ribosomal RNA
Rfam family: Bacterial small subunit ribosomal RNA
Source: RNAcentral